Molecule: non-coding RNA, 119 nt
Organism: Pteropus alecto (black flying fox)
Lineage: Eukaryota; Metazoa; Chordata; Mammalia; Chiroptera; Pteropodidae
Source: Rfam
GUCUACGGCCAUGCAACCCUGAAUGUGCUCGAUCUCGUCUGAUCUCGGAAGCUAAGCAGGGUCAGGCCUGAUUAGUACUUAGAUGGGAGACCACCUAGGAAGACCAGGUGCUGUAGGCG